RNAcentral lists this ribosomal RNA (751 nucleotides) under uncultured Halobacteria archaeon. RNAcentral describes it as "bacterial SSU rRNA". It matches the Rfam family "Archaeal small subunit ribosomal RNA", at positions 526 to 1274 of the family's 1478-position model. The record is from RNAcentral. Lineage: Archaea; Methanobacteriati; Methanobacteriota; Halobacteria.
UUGCUGUGUAAGUCCAUUGGGAAAUCGACCAGCUCAACUGGUCGGCGUCCGGUGGAAACUACACAGCUUGGGGCCGAGAGACUCAACGGGUACGUCCGGGGUAGGAGUGAAAUCCCGUAAUCCUGGACGGACCACCGAUGGCGAAAGCACCUUGGAAGGACGGAUCCGACAGUGAGGGACGAAAGCUAGGGUCUCGAACCGGAUUAGAUACCCGGGUAGUCCUAGCCGUAAACGAUGCUCGCUAGGUGUGGCGCAGGCUACGAGCCUGCGCUGUGCCGUAGGGAAGCCGUGAAGCGAGCCGCCUGGGAAGUACGUCUGCAAGGAUGAAACUUAAAGGAAUUGGCGGGGGAGCACUACAACCGGAGGAGCCUGCGGUUUAAUUGGACUCAACGCCGGACAUCUCACCAGCUCCGACAGCAGUAAUGACGGUCAGGUUGAUGACCUUACCCGACGCUGCUGAGAGGAGGUGCAUGGCCGCCGUCAGCUCGUACCGUGAGGCGUCCUGUUAAGUCAGGCAACGAGCGAGACCCGCACCUCUAGUUGCCAGCAGCAUCUUGCGAUGGCUGGGUACACUAGGGGGACUGCCGUCGCUAAGACGGAGGAAGGAACGGGCAACGGUAGGUCAGUAUGCCCCGAAUGAGCUGGGCUACACGCGGGCUACAAUGGUCGAGACAGUGGGAUGCGACACCGAGAGGUGGAGCUAAUCUCCUAAACUCGAUCGUAGUUCGGAUUGCGGGCUGAAACCCGCCCG